GAGUUUGAUCCUGGCUCAGAUUGAACGCUGGCGGCAGGCCUAACACAUGCAAGUCGAGCGGAUGAAGGGAGCUUGCUCCUGGAUUCAGCGGCGGACGGGUGAGUAGUGCCUAGGAAUCUGCCUGGUAGUGGGGAGUAACGUCCGGAACGGGACGGCUAAUACCGCAUACGUCCUGAGGGAGGAAAGUAGGGGAGUCUUCGGACCUCACGCUAUCAGAUGAGCCUAGGUC
This 229-nucleotide ribosomal RNA is filed under the name uncultured microorganism. Its description in RNAcentral is "partial 16S ribosomal RNA". It matches the Rfam family "Bacterial small subunit ribosomal RNA", at positions 9 to 237 of the family's 1533-position model. The record is from RNAcentral.